AGUGAACGCUGGCGGCAGGCCUAAUACAUGCAAGUCGAACGGCAGCACAGCAGAGCUUGCUCUGUGGGUGGCGAGUGGCGGACGGGUGAGGAAUACAUAGGAAUCUGCCCAGUCGUGGGGGAUAACGUAGGGAAACUUACGCUAAUACCGCAUGCGCCCUUUGGGGGAAAGCCGGGGACCUUCGGGCCUGGCGCGAUUGGAUGAGCCUAUGUCUGAUUAGCUAGUUGGAGGGGUAAAAGCCCACCAAGGCGACGAUCAGUAGCUGGUCUGAGAGGAUGAUCAGCCACACUGGAACUGAGACACGGUCCAGACUCCUACGGGAGGCAGCAGUAGGGAAUAUUGGACAAUGGGCGCAAGCCUGAUCCAGCCAUGCCGCGUGAGUGAAGAAGGCCCUCGGGUUGUAAAGCUCUUUUGUUAGGGAAGAAAAGCAUUCGGUUAAUACCCGAGUGUACUGACGGUACUAAAGAAUAA
This 471-nucleotide ribosomal RNA is filed under the name uncultured Thermomonas sp. RNAcentral's name for it is "bacterial SSU rRNA". It matches the Rfam family "Bacterial small subunit ribosomal RNA", at positions 29 to 489 of the family's 1533-position model. Lineage: Bacteria; Pseudomonadati; Pseudomonadota; Gammaproteobacteria; Lysobacterales; Lysobacteraceae. The record is from RNAcentral.